CUGGAGAAGAUUGAUCUGUGUUUCGCCUGGUAAUACUUCAUUUAUGAUAUUUUGAGUCGAAAGUCAAAAGUCAAAAGUCCAAGAAGUCAGAAAAUUGACUUUAUAGACUUUAAGGACUUUACAGACUAUAGACUCAUUACGUUCUUUGACAUACUGGCAAUAAACAAUUUAAAAAGAGAAAUUAGUAAGAUUAUAUUCG
RNAcentral lists this unclassified non-coding RNA (199 nucleotides) under uncultured Bacteroidota bacterium. RNAcentral describes it as "uncultured Bacteroidetes bacterium 16S-23S ribosomal RNA intergenic spacer". Lineage: Bacteria; Pseudomonadati; Bacteroidota. The record is from RNAcentral.